RNAcentral lists this signal recognition particle RNA (265 nucleotides) under Desulfonispora thiosulfatigenes DSM 11270. RNAcentral describes it as "Bacterial large signal recognition particle RNA". It matches the Rfam family "Bacterial large signal recognition particle RNA". Rfam says of the family: The signal recognition particle (SRP) is a universally conserved ribonucleoprotein involved in the co-translational targeting of proteins to membranes. Archaeal SRP consists of a 7S RNA and homologues of the eukaryotic SRP19 and SRP54 proteins. The record is from Rfam by way of RNAcentral. Lineage: Bacteria; Bacillati; Bacillota; Clostridia; Eubacteriales; Peptococcaceae.
UCGUGCUAGAUGGGGAGGUAGCGGUGCCUUGUAACCCGCAAUCCGCUAUAGCGGGGUCGAUGUCUAACUGAGGACUAAUCUUGUGGAGUCUGCCCUAGGCAAGUGGUGUUGACGAUUGGGUCCCGCGCAACGCAAACUUAUGAACCCCGUCAGAUCCGGAAGGAAGCAGCGGUAAGUAAGACCUUGCGUGUGCCGUGGGUCAGCCUGAUCCGAGCAAACUACCUAGGUAACGUCCGGAAGAUUAGCUUCGAAGUUAGGUGCACGA